GAUGAACGCUGGCGGCGUGCCUAAUACAUGCAAGUCGAGCGAACAGAUGGGAGCUUGCUCCUCUGACGUUAGCGGCGGACGGGUGAGUAACACGUGGAUAACCUACCUAUAAGACUGGGAUAACUUCGGGAAACCGGAGCUAAUACCGGAUAAUAUAUUGAACCGCAUGGUUCAAUAGUGAAAGACGGUUUUGCUGUCACUUAUAGAUGGAUCCGCGCCGCAUUAGCUAGUUGGUAAGGUAACGGCUUACCAAGGCAACGAUGCGUAGCCGACCUGAGAGGGUGAUCGGCCACACUGGAACUGAGACACGGUCCAGACUCCUACGGGAGGCAGCAGUAGGGAAUCUUCCGCAAUGGGCGAAAGCCUGACGGAGCAACGCCGCGUGAGUGAUGAAGGUCUUCGGAUCGUAAAACUCUGUUAUUAGGGAAGAACAAAUGUGUAAGUAACUAUGCACGUCUUGACGGUACCUAAUCAGAAAGCCACGGCUAACUACGUG
Molecule: ribosomal RNA, 496 nt
Filed under: uncultured bacterium
Lineage: Bacteria
Description: partial 16S ribosomal RNA
Rfam family: Bacterial small subunit ribosomal RNA
Source: RNAcentral